CCUACGGGGGGCUGCAGUGAGGAAUAUUGGUCAAUGGCCGGAAGGCUGAACCAGCCAUGCCGCGUGAAGGUCAGUGCCCUAUGGGCGUUAAACUUCUUUUGUGCGGGAGCAAUAAUGGUCACGUGUGGACAGACGAGAGUACCGUACGAAUAAGCAUCGGCUAACUCCGUGCCAGCAGCCGCGGUCAUACGGGGGAUGCAAGCGUUAUCCGGAUUUAGUGGGGUUAAAGGGUGCGUAGGCUGUGAGGUAAGUCAGCGGUGAAAUGCCCCCGCUCAACGGGGUGAAGUGCCAUUGAUACUGCCAUGCGUGAAUGCGGAUGCCGUGGGAGGAAUGUGAGGUGUAGCGGUGAAAUGCAUAGAUAUCACACAGAACACCGAUUGCGAAGGCAUCUCACGAAUCCGCGAUUGACGCUGAUGCACGAAAGCGUGGGUAUCAAACAGGAUUAGAUACCCUAGUAGUC
This 460-nucleotide ribosomal RNA is filed under the name uncultured bacterium. Its description in RNAcentral is "partial 16S ribosomal RNA". It matches the Rfam family "Bacterial small subunit ribosomal RNA", at positions 338 to 795 of the family's 1533-position model. The record is from RNAcentral.